AAGUUCCCCUCCCAGCUGUGAUCGCGGGCCUGUGCUCCUUCGGAGGGGGGAGGGCCAGCCCUGGUACGGAAACAAUGGAGAAAGGGAACAGCGGGGACGUGGCGCCGAUGGAAUAGGCCCGCCGAUCAUUUCGAGGAGGUGAAAGGGGGGGUGCAAGCGGGGGCAAUCUGAGGGUGAUCCGGAU
RNAcentral lists this non-coding RNA (184 nucleotides) under Tetraselmis sp. GSL018. Lineage: Eukaryota; Viridiplantae; Chlorophyta; Chlorodendrophyceae; Chlorodendrales; Chlorodendraceae. The record is from RNAcentral.